UGGGAGAUGGAGGAGUCAACAUGGCAGAAAAGAGAGAGAAGAUGGAAGUGAGGAAACAGAAGUAGACAGAAAUUUGAUAAGAAGGGAAAAGUGACCAUGCAGAUGUAGAAGACAGAUGGAGUGCAAAGGAGGAAGGAAUACACACAUGCGAGGCCAGCACUAUAGCCCAACAGACUGCAGUAAGCCAGCCAGGCUGGGGGCCUGCCCAACAGGAGCAGCAUUCUGCCAAGGGGAGGGGGAGAGGCCUGGAGGACGGAGGAGGGCCUUCAAGAUUCUAAACUUCAAGUUCAGCCCCAGAGCCCUGCCAGGUGAAUGUGCUCACUGAGUAGCAGAAGACCAGGUUUUCUUCUUCAAACAAAGAUAUCCAGGAGUCUACCUUGAGAAUUCAAAGGGAUAUCCAUGACAAUGUGAGGAGUUCCAUUAGCGAUUCCUGUCCUGAUUUCAGAGCUCUUUGAUGCUUCCAAACCUGAGAGAGAGAAAAAAAAUGGAGAGAAACAUCAGGAAAUCUUUCCUCGGGGGCAUCCUCCACAGGCCUUCAGCUGAGGACACAUUUCUUUACCAGCUAACUGCCCGACCAUGCCCCUACUGCCCCUGGCUCCCUCCCUGCCAUCCGACACUGCUCCACCGUUCCACAGGAGGUUACAGGAAUGCUUGGCAAAGAAUCAUCUGAGCUUCAUCAGUGACAGCUGUGUCUUCUGUCUUUGCCUCAAUCUGGAGAAGAAUACUUCGGGCUGAACAACACAGUGGCCACCAGAGACCCAUUUUUAAAACCCCCUUCCAUUCCUUCUUCAUUCCUACCAGUCAUCAUUUGUGGAUUCGUCUGUCACUGUGGCUUGGAAACUUGGCUCUAGAGAAGAUAGUGGAGGCCCCCCCCUAAGGAAUCUCCUGACUGUUGGAAGGUGCCAACUAUAACUAUAACUCAUUUUGAAGGAGCCAACAGCUCUGGUGCCAUGACAAACCUGCGUCCCCGAAGCCCCUCUGCAGUUAGAUUGGGUGCUCACCAUUCAGGACACUGUCUCACAAAUGGGGAGCUACCUUGACCCAUAUAGUAUUCUCCCAGUGAUGCUUUGGAAAGAACAGAGCACAAAGGCCAAAUUUCCUGAGAGAGGGUUGGCCUUGCAGGUGAGCACAUGUCCUGGUUGUCCUUUGCCCUUCCUGGCCCUGGCUUGGGUUUGAGAGCAGAGAUUACAGGAUUUUUGUUCUAGACUUAGUUGUUGCAAUGAUGAAGACAGCCCUCCUGCCAAGUCCAGCAAGGUACUUGUAUGCCAAGACCAGCCCAUCCAAGAGCUGGCUUAUGUGCCCAGUGUGCUUGUACGGCACACACCCACCCACAGUGGAGCAGAGUGAAUGGAUAGAAGAUCCACAGGCUAGAUGAGUCAUCACCUCUGUUGCUUACUUGGGGAGAGAAACCACAAACCACCGAGAGGCUUACAUUUCCUUGUUUCAAUCAGGCUGUUCACGUGGCACCUGAAAGGAAGAUUAACUAGAUGCUAAAAUGCACUUCUGGAGUCCAAUUCCAUUGACAGGGAAAGCUUCCAUGUACCCCAAGACUCCAUUGGGAGAAAACAGGCUACAAUUCCAA
Molecule: non-coding RNA, 1582 nt
Organism: Heterocephalus glaber (naked mole-rat)
Lineage: Eukaryota; Metazoa; Chordata; Mammalia; Rodentia; Bathyergidae
Source: RefSeq, a predicted model, not a curated record